GGGCCCAUAGCUCAGUUGGUCAGAGCAGCGGACUCAUAAUCCGUUGGUCCCAGGUUCGAGUCCUGGUGGGCCCACCU
RNAcentral lists this transfer RNA (77 nucleotides) under Acidobacteriota bacterium. Its description in RNAcentral is "Acidobacteria bacterium tRNA-Met". It matches the Rfam family "tRNA". Rfam says of the family: Transfer RNA (tRNA) molecules are approximately 80 nucleotides in length. Their secondary structure includes four short double-helical elements and three loops (D, anti-codon, and T loops). Further hydrogen bonds mediate the characteristic L-shaped molecular structure. tRNAs have two regions of fundamental functional importance: the anti-codon, which is responsible for specific mRNA codon recognition, and the 3' end, to which the tRNAs corresponding amino acid is attached (by aminoacyl-tRNA synthetases). tRNAs cope with the degeneracy of the genetic code in two manners: having more than one tRNA (with a specific anti-codon) for a particular amino acid; and 'wobble' base-pairing, i.e. permitting non-standard base-pairing at the 3rd anti-codon position. Lineage: Bacteria; Pseudomonadati; Acidobacteriota. The record is from RNAcentral.